GCGGUUGUAGUAUAACCUGGUUAGUAUCUGAGCUUCCCAAGCUCGAGGUCCGGGUUCAAAUCCCGGCAGCCGCA
RNAcentral lists this transfer RNA (74 nucleotides) under Microcaldota archaeon. RNAcentral describes it as "tRNA-Gly". It matches the Rfam family "tRNA". From Rfam's summary of the family: Transfer RNA (tRNA) molecules are approximately 80 nucleotides in length. Their secondary structure includes four short double-helical elements and three loops (D, anti-codon, and T loops). Lineage: Archaea; Nanobdellati; Microcaldota. The record is from RNAcentral.